UCGCCGCCCGCGACUCUGCGAGAAGUCCAUUGAACCUUAUCAUUUAGAGGAAGGAGAAGUCGUAACAAGGUUUCCGUAGGUGAACCUGCGGAAGGAUCAUUG
This 102-nucleotide ribosomal RNA is filed under the name Leochilus leochilinus. Its description in RNAcentral is "partial 18S ribosomal RNA". It matches the Rfam family "Eukaryotic small subunit ribosomal RNA", at positions 1726 to 1831 of the family's 1831-position model. Lineage: Eukaryota; Viridiplantae; Streptophyta; Magnoliopsida; Asparagales; Orchidaceae. The record is from RNAcentral.